Molecule: ribosomal RNA, 253 nt
Filed under: uncultured bacterium
Lineage: Bacteria
Description: partial 16S ribosomal RNA
Rfam family: Bacterial small subunit ribosomal RNA
Source: RNAcentral
UACGGAGGGUGCAAGCGUUGUCCGGAUUUAUUGGGUUUAAAGGGUGCGUAGGCGGUUCUUUAAGUCAGCGGUGAAAGUCCAGAGCUCAACUCUGGGAUUGCCAUUGAUACUGAGGAACUUGAGUAUAGUUGAGGUAGGCGGAAUUGACAGUGUAGCGGUGAAAUGCAUAGAUAUUGUCAAGAACACCGAUUGCGUAGGCAGCUUACUAAACUAUAACUGACGCUGAGGCACGAAAGUGUGGGGAUCAAACAGG